AACGAACGCUGGCGGCAGGCUUAACACAUGCAAGUCGAACGCCCCGCAAGGGGCGUGGCAGACGGGUGAGUAACGCGUGGGAACAUACCCUUUUCUACGGAAUAGCUCUGGGAAACUGGAAUUAAUACCGUAUACGCCCUACGGGGGAAAGAUUUAUCGGGGAAGGAUUGGCCCGCGUUGGAUUAGCUAGUUGGUGGGGUAAAGGCUUACCAAGGCGACGAUCCAUAGCUGGUCUGAGAGGAUGAUCAGCCACAUUGGGACUGAGACACGGCCCAAACUCCUACGGGAGGCAGCAGUGGGGAAUAUUGGACAAUGGGCGCAAGCCUGAUCCAGCCAUGCCGCGUGAGUGAUGAAGGCCUUAGGGUUGUAAAGCUCUUUCACCGAUGAAGAUAAUGACGGUAGUCGGAGAAGAAGCCCCGGCUAACUUCGUG
RNAcentral lists this ribosomal RNA (431 nucleotides) under uncultured bacterium. Its description in RNAcentral is "partial 16S ribosomal RNA". It matches the Rfam family "Bacterial small subunit ribosomal RNA", at positions 29 to 507 of the family's 1533-position model. The record is from RNAcentral.